RNAcentral lists this ribosomal RNA (498 nucleotides) under uncultured bacterium. Its description in RNAcentral is "partial 16S ribosomal RNA". It matches the Rfam family "Bacterial small subunit ribosomal RNA", at positions 27 to 507 of the family's 1533-position model. The record is from RNAcentral.
GGACGAACGCUGGCGGCGUGCCUAAUACAUGCAAGUUGAGCGCUGAAGGUUGGUACUUGUACCAACUGGAUGAGCAGCGAACGGGUGAGUAACGCGUGGGGAAUCUGCCUUUGAGCGGGGGACAACAUUUGGAAACGAAUGCUAAUACCGCAUAAAAACUUUAAACACAAGUUUUAAGUUUGAAAGAUGCAAUUGCAUCACUCAAAGAUGAUCCCGCGUUGUAUUAGCUAGUUGGUGAGGUAAAGGCUCACCAAGGCGAUGAUACAUAGCCGACCUGAGAGGGUGAUCGGCCACAUUGGGACUGAGACACGGCCCAAACUCCUACGGGAGGCAGCAGUAGGGAAUCUUCGGCAAUGGACGAAAGUCUGACCGAGCAACGCCGCGUGAGGGAAGAAGGGUUUCGGAUCGUAAAACUCUGUUGGUAGAGAAGAACGUUGGUGAGAGUGGAAAGCUCAUCAAGUGACGGUAACUACCCAGAAAGGGACGGCUAACUACGUG